This 501-nucleotide ribosomal RNA is filed under the name uncultured bacterium. Its description in RNAcentral is "partial 16S ribosomal RNA". It matches the Rfam family "Bacterial small subunit ribosomal RNA", at positions 29 to 523 of the family's 1533-position model. The record is from RNAcentral.
AUUGAACGCUGGCGGCACGCCUUACACAUGCAAGUCGAACGGCAGCACGGGUGCUUGCACCUGGUGGCGAGUGGCGAACGGGUGAGUAAUACAUCGGAACGUACCUUAUCGUGGGUGAUAACGCAGCGAACGCUGUGCUAAUACCGCAUACGCCCGGAGGGGGAAAGCGGGGGAUCGAAAGUCCGCGCGCGAUUCGAGCGGCCGAUGCCUGAUGAGCUUGUUGGUGGGGUAAAAGCCCACCAGGGCGACGAUCAGUAGAUGGUCUGAGAGGCCGAUCAGCCAAACUGGGACUGAGACACGGCCCAGACUCCUACGGGAGGCAGCAGUGGGGAAUGUUGGACAAUGGGGGCAACCCUGAUCCAGCAAUGCCGCGUGAGUGAAGAAGGCCUUCGGGUUGUAAAGCUCUUUUGUCAGGGAAGAAACACCGGCUCUAACACAGUCCGGGAAUGACGGUACCUGAAGAAUAAGCACCGGCUAACUACGUGCCAGCCGCCGCCGUAA